Molecule: ribosomal RNA, 433 nt
Filed under: uncultured bacterium
Lineage: Bacteria
Description: partial 16S ribosomal RNA
Rfam family: Bacterial small subunit ribosomal RNA
Source: RNAcentral
AACGAACGCUGGCGGCAUGCCUAACACAUGCAAGUCGAACGAGACCUUCGGGUCUAGUGGCGAACGGGUGCGUAACGCGUGGGAACCUGCCCUUAGGUUCGGAAUAACUCCCCGAAAGGGGUGCUAAUACCGGAUAAUGUCUUCGGACCAAAGAUUUAUCGCCUUUGGAUGGGCCCGCGUUGGAUUAGCUAGUUGGUAGGGUAAAAGCCUACCAAGGCGACGAUCCAUAGCUGGUCUGAGAGGAUGAUCAGCCACACUGGGACUGAGACACGGCCCAGACUCCUACGGGAGGCAGCAGUGGGGAAUAUUGGACAAGGGGCGAAAGCCUGAUCCAGCAAUGCCGCGUGAGUGAUGAAGGCCGUAGGGUUGUAAAGCUCUUUUACCCGGGAUGAUAAUGACAGUACCGGGAGAAUAAGCUCCGGCUAACUCCGUG